UAAGAGAUACAACAUAUAUUACCUCAUGUACAAUAAUAUUAAGCAUACAACCAAUCUUAUACGUAUUACACUACACCGAUCAUAUAUGUAUUACACUACACAGACCUUACCCUAAUCUCCUAAACACAGCCGCCAUCAAACAUAUUCUCAUUGUCUCCACCAAAGAUGCAGUGAUCUCCACCAACGUCUCCCACCGAAGGUCCACGGCUGCCGACUUCCCCCACCAAAGAUGUAGUGAUCUCUCUCGCCUCUCUUUGUCUCUCUCCUCUCUUUUCUCUCUUUCUCCCUCUCUCUCUCUCUCUAUCUCUCUCGAUCGCCAUCAGAAUGAAAUGGAAACCCUAAUUUCAAAUUACCAUGUAUUCGAGAUCCCUAUGGCGAGGUGUGUCCCCGUUUACUGUGAUUACAAACUCACAAACCUCACGACCUCUCUCAUACAUUCUCUGUCUUUUGUUUUCAGUAAAUAUGUUAUCACCACCAUCAUCUACAAUUGCUAUCAUCGAGCUCUCCCUUUUCUUACUAAUUUCACCCCAUUAGUUACCACACACAUAAAAAUGUACAAAACCACCAUCGACAUCUUCAAAUGAACAUCAUCGAUUUCUUUUCCCAAGUCAUUUAUCCUCUGUAACCGUCAUCAUCUGUCGACGAAGAUCAGAAACUACAAGCACAAUCAUGCCCUGAACACCGAACAGGGUAAUUUCUGAAUUGAUCUCUUUCUCCCUUCCCCAAACGGUGACUACUAUCUCCAUUCCAAUGUCUAUUUCUCUUUUCCCUAAAUGGUAACCACUAACACGCAUGGAUGCUAUGUGGUUAGAAGCGCUAGAAAAUGCCUUCAAUGUGUGAUCCUGGCAUCAAAUGCAAAUGCGGCUGUAAUUUCCCCAAUUCUACUUGCCACAUCACCCAACUGACCUUUGUCUUUCUUCCCACCUAAUCUUCUUGCUAAAGCCCUUCAGUUGCUUUCUGAUGCCACUUCCACUCCUGAAGACCUUGGUAUCAAUUGGAGCCGUAUAGGGGAAUGUGCACCAAAUAAGAAUGACUGUCUAAUAAAUAUGAUGGGUCGAUUUGUAGUUGCAUGCGGUCUGUUCUAACAUCGGAACAUACGUAUCCAGAUGAUGAAGAUGUACUCCAAGAGGAAAACAUUGUUAAGAAGCAACAUAGAUGCUUCAUUUUCCCUCCACGAACCCUAAUCGGCAUCUCAGUCGCAAAAGUUGAUCCAUGUUGCUCAAUCGGGAAAUCCAUAUUAUGUUCCACCAAAAGUGCUUCAUAUUCUGAGAAUUUCUUAUUCAUCUGUACAUUUCAGUCUCCUUUGCUAUUCACAAUCAUGUCAGAAGUAAAAGAUGAUGAGUAUGAGAGAAAUGAUUGCUUCUGUAGGCUUCUUCUGGCAAAAAGAAGAUUGUAGGUGUUUUCUACAAGGCACAUGAGUAUGCUGAGAUGAACCCCAAUUUCUUGGGUUGUGCAGAAAAUGCAUUAGGCAUUCGCAACUGGUUGGAAUCACAGGGCCAUGAGUA
This is an RNA transcript of Lactuca sativa (garden lettuce), 1505 nucleotides long. RefSeq lists it as uncharacterized. Lineage: Eukaryota; Viridiplantae; Streptophyta; Magnoliopsida; Asterales; Asteraceae. The record is from RefSeq and is a predicted model, not a curated record.